GUCUUAGUAGUAUAAAUAUUACACUGGUUUUGUAAACCAGAAAUGGAAGAACCCCCCCCCUAAGACA
RNAcentral lists this transfer RNA (67 nucleotides) under Diplomys labilis (rufous soft-furred spiny-rat). RNAcentral's name for it is "tRNA-Thr". The record is from RNAcentral. Lineage: Eukaryota; Metazoa; Chordata; Mammalia; Rodentia; Echimyidae.